AUUGAACGCCGGCGGCAUGCCUUACACAUGCAAGUCGAACGGCAGCACGGGGGCAACCCUGGUGGCGAGUGGCGAACGGGUGAGUAACACAUCGGAACGUGCCCAGUAGUGGGGGAUAGCUCGGCGAAAGCCGGAUUAAUACCGCAUACGACCUACGGGUGAAAGCGGGGGAUCGCAAGACCUCGCGCUAUUGGAGCGGCCGAUGUCAGAUUAGGUUGUUGGUGGGGUAAAGGCCUACCAAGCCGACGAUCUGUAGCUGGUCUGAGAGGACGACCAGCCACACUGGGACUGAGACACGGCCCAGACUCCUACGGGAGGCAGCAGUGGGGAAUUUUGGACAAUGGGCGCAAGCCUGAUCCAGCCAUGCCGCGUGCGGG
Molecule: ribosomal RNA, 377 nt
Filed under: uncultured bacterium
Lineage: Bacteria
Description: bacterial SSU rRNA
Rfam family: Bacterial small subunit ribosomal RNA
Source: RNAcentral